AGUCCUGUAGUGUAGUGGUCAAUCAUGCUGGCCUUUGGAGCCGGUGACCUCGGUUCGAAUCCGGGCAGGACUACCA
This 76-nucleotide transfer RNA is filed under the name Candidatus Methanomethylophilus alvi Mx1201. Its description in RNAcentral is "tRNA-Gln (TTG) (tRNA-Gln-TTG-1-1)". It matches the Rfam family "tRNA". Rfam says of the family: Transfer RNA (tRNA) molecules are approximately 80 nucleotides in length. Their secondary structure includes four short double-helical elements and three loops (D, anti-codon, and T loops). Lineage: Archaea; Methanobacteriati; Thermoplasmatota; Thermoplasmata; Methanomassiliicoccales; Methanomethylophilaceae. RNAcentral also lists the same sequence under 4 other names. The record is from RNAcentral.